AUGAACGCUGGCGGCGUGCCUAAUCCAUGCAAGUCGAGCGAACGGACGAGAAGCUUGCUUCUCUGAUGUUAGCGGCGGACGGGUGAGUAACACGUGGAUAACCUACCUAUAAGACUGGGAUAACUUCGGGAAACCGGAGCUAAUACCGGAUAAUAUUUUGAACCGCAUGGUUCAAAAGUGAAAGACGGUCUUGCUGGCACUUAUAGAUGGAUCCGCGCUGCAUUAGCUAGUUGGUAAGGUAACGGCUUACCAAGGCAACGAUGCAUAGCCGACCUGAGAGGGUGAUCGGCCACACUGGAACUGAGACACGGUCCAGACUCCUACGGGAGGCAGCAGUAGGGAAUCUUCCGCAAUGGGCGAAAGCCUGACGGAGCCACGCCGCGUGAGUGAUGAAGGUCUUCGGAUCGUAAAACUCUGUUAUUAGGGAAGAACAUAUGUGUAAGUAACUGUGCACAUCUUGACGGUACCUAAUCAGAAAGCCACGGCUAACUACGUG
RNAcentral lists this ribosomal RNA (496 nucleotides) under uncultured bacterium. RNAcentral's name for it is "partial 16S ribosomal RNA". It matches the Rfam family "Bacterial small subunit ribosomal RNA", at positions 29 to 507 of the family's 1533-position model. The record is from RNAcentral.